CCUACGGGAGGCAGCAGUGGGGGAUAUUGCACAAUGGGGGAAACCCUGAUGCAGCGACGCCGCGUGGGCGAAGAAGUAUUUCGGUAUGUAAAGCCCUAUCAGCAGGGAAGAAGAAAUGACGGUACCUGAGUAAGAAGCACCGGCUAAAUACGUGCCAGCAGCCGCGGUAAUACGUAUGGUGCAAGCGUUAUCCGGAUUUACUGGGUGUAAAGGGAGCGCAGGCGGCACGGCAAGCCUGAUGUGAAAGCCCGCGGCCCAACCGCGGGACUGCAUUGGGAACUACCGGGCUGGAGUGCCGGAGAGGUAGGCGGAAUUCCUAGUGUAGCGGUGAAAUGCGUAGAUAUUAGGAGGAACACCAGUGGCGAAGGCGGCCUUCCGGCGCCCUACUGACGCUGAGGCACGAAAGUGCGGGGAUCGAACAGGAUUAGAUACCCUUGUAGUC
This 442-nucleotide ribosomal RNA is filed under the name uncultured bacterium. Its description in RNAcentral is "partial 16S ribosomal RNA". It matches the Rfam family "Bacterial small subunit ribosomal RNA", at positions 338 to 795 of the family's 1533-position model. The record is from RNAcentral.